GGGCGAGCCUCCUCUGCUCCUCUCCUCUUCCCUGCUCUUGCGUCUGCUCCAGCGCGACCUCACCGAGCGGCUCCGCGGCUCUGCCGCCAGCGGCCUGUCGGGUGCAGCAGAAGCCCCCAGGUAGCUGAGAAGUGCGUGGAAUCUUUUUACUGGUACAACUUUCACAACACUUGUGUUAUAGUGUGGAGUAAGGGUGACUAGACAUUUCUCAAGUGUACUGUUUACCUACACAGCGCACUGCAACUUGACUUCUAAAAGUCAAGAGAAGCAGGUUGGAACAAUUGUUUUGUGUAACAUAGAAAGGGCAUUUCAUUUGAUAACGAGAACACAGCUUUUGUGCAAAUAAAAUGCUUUAAAAACUAG
Molecule: long non-coding RNA, 363 nt
Organism: Diceros bicornis minor
Lineage: Eukaryota; Metazoa; Chordata; Mammalia; Perissodactyla; Rhinocerotidae
Exons: 2
Source: RefSeq, a predicted model, not a curated record